Lycium barbarum (goji berry) is the source of this 1899-nucleotide long non-coding RNA. RefSeq lists it as uncharacterized. The transcript is spliced from 2 exons. Lineage: Eukaryota; Viridiplantae; Streptophyta; Magnoliopsida; Solanales; Solanaceae. The record is from RefSeq and is a predicted model, not a curated record.
UUAAUGACUAAUGUUAGGCAUACAUUCAUUUCCAAUCUCAAUUAAAUUGAGAGAGGGAGAGAGCAGCACAUAGCCAUGGCACUCACAGCCAUGGAAGCUCAUGGAUGAGCUCAAAAUUUGGAAGAGAUUAAAUUCAAGAAGGCGUUCUAUACGUUCAAGGAGGCGGUAACCUUGGGAUUUAAAUUGAGAAAGAAGCAGUGGUGCAAGUGAGUAUAGGAUCUGUCCUAAUCAAUUUGAGAUAAGAUUUCUUCUUUUGUCAUGAAAUUGGAAUUAACGAGAUUGUAGUGGAGAGAUUAAUUUAUAUUAAGUGAAAUUGGAAGUAGGAAUAUUGUAUGAUUAAUGUUGGCAACAAUAAGACAAAGUGGAUAAGUGUAAAUCCACAUGGCAUCAUGAUGUUUAUUUCUAUAUAUGACUCUUAUUAGGUGCAAAUUAAUUUAGUGGACACGUUCCGGAAGGGAAUGCAUUGUACGCAUGAAAGUGCUAAUUGUGUGGACCCCAUAAUCCACUGAUAUUAGACAUGCACAUAUAUCUCACUUUGGUUGAACAAAAGUUCAUAAAUAAAGUAUAUUGCAACUUUCUUCGUUAAAAACUCUAACGUGUGCAACAAUGAAAAAUAAGCAAUGUCAUUAUUACAAAAAUUUUCUAGUGCAGCAACGUUUCUCCCUUUUUUCUAUACUAACGCAGUACAUCAAUUUUGUUACGAUCUCUUCCUCUUUUCAAUAUAAAUACAACCAUUUUCCGACGUUGAUUUCAUGAUUAUAGUAUCGGUUUUCCCCGAGUGAUAGCCGGAUAUUUCUUCGUAGGGAAGUAAGGUGGAAGAAUAUUAUUUCUUGGAAUAUAAGACCCGCAAGCUCGAGAAGUAGACGUUGGACAUUAGAUAGAGUUCAAGGUAUGUGAGGCUAGUCCUUUCUUUCUAUGCCAUGAAUCUUAUAUCUUGACUCUCGUUUUAUCCAUGAGUUUCCUUAAGUUCCGGAAAAUAUGAGUCUAUGUCCAUAAUUAGCCACACAAGGUAAUGAGUAAAGUAUAGAAAUCCCAAUACUUAUGUUGUGAUGAUCUUAUGAUGUUAAUGAUGCUAUUUAUUGAUUACACUUACCUUAUAUGCUAAUUCCUUCAAGGUGAGGCAGGAUGUCAAUGAAUGCUCCAUAAUGACGUCGGAAGCCACCGACCUUACGUCACUGUGAUAUAGUUAUGACUUUUGAUUGGGAUCUUAUGCAUGCUUUAUAUAUAUACGUAUGUAUUUUCUCACACCGCGCCGCGCUAUAGUUGGCCGGGCAGGCACGUAAAUGUGCACACCACUAUAGUGGGCAGCUUUUACCCCGGACGCGGGAGGCCUGGACGCAGGCUAUGAUUAUCACACCGUACCUAAAUGGCGGGCAGCUUAUAUAUGUAUACAUACAUGACAUGAUAAUGAUUAUGAGUAAGUCAGCAUGCAUUAUUUCAUUUAUAUUUGACAGCUAGUACAGAUUGCUCUUUCUUGAUGCUUCCUUAUUUCAUUGAUGCCUUCCUAUUUCAUUGAUAUAUUGUUAUUGUUUAUGCCUCUCAUACUCAGUACAAUAUUCGUACUGACGUCCGUUUUCUUCGGACGCUGUGUUCAUGCCCACAGGUUGACAGGGAGGUGAGCUUGAUCCAGAUUCUUAGUAGCUGUCAACUGAUUGAGAGCACUCUGUUGUUCGGAGGUGCUUAUGUUUAUUCUUUUGGUUCAUAUAUGUAUUUCGCGCACGACGGAGUUUGGUUCCGUUUAUAUGUAUAAUAUGUCAGUAGAGGCUCGUAGACGCGCAGUGUGGGUUAGAUGGUCUCGCAAGAUUACUAUGUUAUAUUGGUAUAUGAUAUUUUGAUAGCCUAAGGGGCACAUGUAUAUAAAAUCAUUGGUGUUUUUUUAAAUAAAAAAUGGUUGUCUUA